RNAcentral lists this ribosomal RNA (497 nucleotides) under uncultured bacterium. RNAcentral's name for it is "partial 16S ribosomal RNA". It matches the Rfam family "Bacterial small subunit ribosomal RNA", at positions 28 to 507 of the family's 1533-position model. The record is from RNAcentral.
GAUGAACGCUGGCGGCGUGCCUAAUACAUGCAAGUCGAGCGAACAGAUAAGGAGCUUGCUCCUUUGACGUUAGCGGCGGACGGGUGAGUAACACGUGGGUAACCUACCUAUAAGACUGGGAUAACUUCGGGAAACCGGAGCUAAUACCGGAUAAUAUUUCGAACCGCAUGGUUCGAUAGUGAAAGAUGGUUUUGCUAUCACUUAUAGAUGGACCCGCGCCGUAUUAGCUAGUUGGUAAGGUAACGGCUUACCAAGGCGACGAUACGUAGCCGACCUGAGAGGGUGAUCGGCCACACUGGAACUGAGACACGGUCCAGACUCCUACGGGAGGCAGCAGUAGGGAAUCUUCCGCAAUGGGCGAAAGCCUGACGGAGCAACGCCGCGUGAGUGAUGAAGGUCUUCGGAUCGUAAAACUCUGUUAUUAGGGAAGAACAUACGUGUAAGUAACUGUGCACGACUUGACGGUACCUAAUCAGAAAGCCACGGCUAACUACGUG